AUGGACGCCGCGGAGGUCGCGGCGAAGGUAUGCGCCCUCGAGGCCGAGCUCGCCGCCACUUUCCCCCGCAUUGCCGACCUGGAGGCCCGGGUCUCGCUCCUCGAAGCCGAGAACGCGCGCUGGAGGAAGGCCAUGCCCAGUGGGGAGGUCUCCGGUCGAUUGGUGGAGGGUUUGGGCGGCCCCAAGCGAAAAACAGUCCAGGCGGUGGGAGUACCCGGCCUGGCGUAUGCUUCUUUUAACGAGGUCGGUGACGGCGAGGAAGAGGGGGUCGCCGCUGAUGCCGGCAACGGGAGGAGCGGCGAGGAGGAUGGCGUUCCCGCGGUGCCGACCCCUAGGAAGCGUGCAUUGCUUAGAAUAAUUGACAGUGAUGAGGAGGAUGACGAGACAGAAGGGCGCCCUGCACCCACCAUAAGGCGCUUGACUCGCUUAGCGGAAAAACAGUCGAAGAAAGCACGAGUCGAACCCAAUGAUCAUGAAGAGAGCGAGGAUGGUUCGGGACAAGAUGGUGAUAUGGGUGAAUCUAAAAAUGAUGCAGAUUGUUCAGAAGAUUCUGACAGCGAGCAGAUGGAUUACACCUUGCUGAAGGAUGUGACCCUGGCUUCAAACAACCAGGUGAGGAUUCGAGUCAGAAUAACGCGCAUUUCGCAUUACAUGGGCAAGUAUCAACCAAGAGGAAUUCCGCAGGUUGAUUUUGUGAUGCUCGAUGAGCAGGGGGGUAUGAUGGACGGUCAAGUACCUGCGUGGCUUGCACAGCUCUUUUUGCAACGCAUCAAGGAGGAUGAUGUGUAUUACAUACACCACUUUAAGGUUGUCCACCCUAGUCUGCCCUAUAGGGCUGUUGAUCAUCCUUGCAUGGCAAUGUUCACGAGGGACACAGAGAUAAGCAAGGAUGAACACGUGUCUGAUAGUUUUCCGGUGUAUGCAUACAAGAUAUCGCCUUAUGAAGUCCUCCGAUCACGUGAAAACAACACAGCUCUAAUGUCUGAUGCCAUUGGUCUUAUGCUGGAAGUUUCAAAUGUGAAAGCUGUUAUUGUCAACGGUGCACCUCGGGCAGUCCGUAACGUGUACAUAAGCGAUGGCAGAGAGACGGCCGCUGUUGCUUUGUGGGAGGCACAGGCAAAUCAAUUCCCAGCCGAGAUUCUGCAGCAGCAGAUGCAGCAAGGACCAGUUGUCAUUCUCUUUGUUGCCGUGACUGUCAAGCUGCGUGAAGGCCAACUGUGUUUGCAAGGAAGCAAAGUCUGUAGGUGGUAUCCCAAUGCUCCUAUUCCAGAAGUUUUAGCUUUGCAGAACAGUUCUGCUGGAGUUUCACAUGAGGCCAGAUUGGUUGACACAUCACCAACACAGACCCAGACGUGCAUGGCAGGGCUUUCUUCUGGAUGA
Molecule: ribosomal RNA, 1380 nt
Filed under: Triticum aestivum (bread wheat)
Lineage: Eukaryota; Viridiplantae; Streptophyta; Magnoliopsida; Poales; Poaceae
Description: partial small subunit ribosomal RNA
Source: RNAcentral